RNAcentral lists this ribosomal RNA (254 nucleotides) under uncultured bacterium. RNAcentral's name for it is "partial 16S ribosomal RNA". It matches the Rfam family "Bacterial small subunit ribosomal RNA", at positions 524 to 776 of the family's 1533-position model. The record is from RNAcentral.
UACGUAGGGUGCAAGCGUUUGUCCGGAAUUAUUGGGCGUAAAGAGCUCGUAGGUGGCCUGUCGCGUCGGCUGUGAAAACUCGGGGCUCAACUCCGAGCUUGCAGUCGAUACGGGCAGGCUAGAGUUCGGCAGGGGAGACUGGAAUUCCUGGUGUAGCGGUGAAAUGCGCAGAUAUCAGGAGGAACACCGGUGGCGAAGGCGGGUCUCUGGGCCGAUACUGACACUGAGGAGCGAAAGCGUGGGGAGCGAACAGG